UCCUGUGACUAUGAAAUUGAUCCUGG
Molecule: non-coding RNA, 26 nt
Filed under: Mus musculus (house mouse)
Lineage: Eukaryota; Metazoa; Chordata; Mammalia; Rodentia; Muridae
Source: RNAcentral